CGCGGGGUGGAGCAGCACGUUAGCUCACGGGCUCAUAACCCGAAGGUCGCAGGUUCAAAUCCUGUCCCCGCAACCA
This 76-nucleotide transfer RNA is filed under the name Bacillus anthracis str. A2012. Its description in RNAcentral is "tRNA-fMet (CAT) (tRNA-fMet-CAT-2-1)". It matches the Rfam family "tRNA". From Rfam's summary of the family: Transfer RNA (tRNA) molecules are approximately 80 nucleotides in length. Their secondary structure includes four short double-helical elements and three loops (D, anti-codon, and T loops). Lineage: Bacteria; Bacillati; Bacillota; Bacilli; Caryophanales; Bacillaceae. The record is from RNAcentral.